UGGGGAAUAUUGGACAAUGGGCGCAAGCCUGAUCCAGCCAUGCCGCGUGAGUGAUGAAGGCCCUAGGGUUGUAAAGCUCUUUCACCGGUGAAGAUAAUGACGGUAACCGGAGAAGAAGCCCCGGCUAACUUCGUGCCAGCAGCCGCGGUAAUACGAAGGGGGCUAGCGUUGUUCGGAUUUACUGGGCGUAAAGCGCACGUAGGCGGACUUUUAAGUCAGGGGUGAAAUCCCGGGGGCUCAACCCCGGAACUGCCUUUGAUACUGGAAGUCUUGAGUAUGGUAGAGGUGAGUGGAAUUCCGAGUGUAGAGGUGAAAUUCGUAGAUAUUCGGAGGAACACCAGUGGCGAAGGCGGCUCACUGGACCAUUACUGACGCUGAGGUGCGAAAGCGUGGGGGAGCAAACAGGAUUAGAUACCCUGGUAGUCCACGCCGUAAACGAUGAAUGUUAGCCGUUGGGGAGUUUACUCUUCGGUGGCGCAGCUAACGCAUUAAACAUUCCGCCUGGGGAGUACGGUCGCAAGA
This 522-nucleotide ribosomal RNA is filed under the name uncultured bacterium. Its description in RNAcentral is "partial 16S ribosomal RNA". It matches the Rfam family "Bacterial small subunit ribosomal RNA", at positions 355 to 893 of the family's 1533-position model. The record is from RNAcentral.